Molecule: non-coding RNA, 179 nt
Filed under: Gammaproteobacteria bacterium
Lineage: Bacteria; Pseudomonadati; Pseudomonadota; Gammaproteobacteria
Description: 6S RNA
Rfam family: 6S / SsrS RNA
About the family: E. coli 6S RNA was the first non coding RNA to be sequenced, but its function was unknown until recently.
Source: RNAcentral
UGUUCCCUGGGUUGUUUGCCAGUCGAUAUGUCCUCGACCCUUUAUGCGAAAUCCAGGAGGUCUUUUUUCUUUGCCAUGUGCACGUCCGGUUUUACGGGAAGCCUGAGGCAAGUCGGAGACCACCGCCUUGAACCGCUGGGUUCAAGGGCCUAUCCGAACAGCGGCAAUUUGGGGAACGA